This 209-nucleotide ribosomal RNA is filed under the name uncultured bacterium. RNAcentral's name for it is "partial 16S ribosomal RNA". It matches the Rfam family "Bacterial small subunit ribosomal RNA", at positions 568 to 774 of the family's 1533-position model. The record is from RNAcentral.
CGCGUAGGCGGUUUGCUAAGUUGGAUGUGAAAACCUCUGGGCUUAACCCAGAGCCUGCAUCCAAAACUGGCAAACUUGAGUACUGGAGGGGAAAGCGGAAUUCCUGGUGUAGCGGUGAAAUGCGUAGAUAUCAGGAGGAACACCGGUGGCGAAGGCGGCUUUCUGGACAGUAACUGACGCUGAGGCGCGAAAGCUAGGGGAAGCAAACA